Molecule: long non-coding RNA, 582 nt
Organism: Salarias fasciatus (jewelled blenny)
Lineage: Eukaryota; Metazoa; Chordata; Actinopteri; Blenniiformes; Blenniidae
Exons: 7
Source: RefSeq, a predicted model, not a curated record
CCAUUCAUAACUGUGAAACAUCAAUGACACAAAGGAUCCCAAAAAGUAUGUCUAUUAAUAAUAAAGCAAAACCAAACACACAACUCUGUCAUGGUCGGUGUGCAGUUAGACCCAACACAGAGAGACAGAAGCAGGAUUAACGGUCGAGCAGGUUUAUUCGGUGCAGGAAAACCAGGAGGACUGCAGCCUGGCAGCAGCGUCACAGGUUGGAUCGAGGAACUGCUCCAUCCACCGCCACGGAGGAAACUCAAACUGAAGCUGUACGGGCUCAACGUGACCUCUUCAACCGAGGUCCUCCAAUAGGACCAGGACUGGCAGAAAAUGGAGUACCUCCAGGACUUGGACUGGCAGAAAAUGCUCCUGCACCUCCUCUGGGGGGGUAGAUGCUGUCUGAUGUUCUACAGAACAUCCGUCGGUAGUGAUGGCGUCCUCAUGACCAUUAAAGGGACGGAUGGAGACGUCCUCUGGGACUAAACAUCUGCAGAUCACCUUCACCAUGAGUCACUGCUUCAUCUGAAAUCAACUUCUUGGUUCAAAAUCAUCUUCUUCCUUCAAUAUCAUCUUCUCCUUUUAAAAUCAUCU